GUGAGGAAUAUUGGUCAAUGGUCGCAAGACUGAACCAGCCAUGCCGCGUGCAGGAAGACGGUCCUAUGGAUUGUAAACUGCUUUUAUACAGGAAGAAACCCUCCCACGUGUGGGAGCUUGACGGUACUGUAGGAAUAAGGAUCGGCUAACUCCGUGCCAGCAGCCGCGGUAAUACGGAGGAUCCAAGCGUUAUCCGGAAUCAUUGGGUUUAAAGGGUCCGUAGGCGGUCUUAUAAGUCAGUGGUGAAAGCCCAUCGCUCAACGAUGGAACUGCCAUUGAUACUGUAGGACUUGAAUGCUUAGGAAGUAACUAGAAUAUGUAGUGUAGCGGUGAAAUGCUUAGAUAUUACAUGGAAUACCAAUUGCGAAGGCAGGUUACUACUAAGUGAUUGACGCUGAUGGACGAAAGCGUGGGGAGCGAACAGGAUUAGAAACCCGUGUAGUCC
This 445-nucleotide ribosomal RNA is filed under the name uncultured bacterium. RNAcentral's name for it is "bacterial SSU rRNA". It matches the Rfam family "Bacterial small subunit ribosomal RNA", at positions 354 to 796 of the family's 1533-position model. The record is from RNAcentral.